GAUGAACGCUGGCGGCGUGCCUAAUACAUGCAAGUCGAGCGAACGGACGAGAAGCUUGCUUCUCUGAUGUUAGCGGCGGACGGGUGAGUAACACGUGGAUAACCUACCUAUAAGACUGGGAUAACUUCGGGAAACCGGGGCUAAUACCGGAUAAUAUUUUGAACCGCAUGGUUCAAAAGUGAAAGACGGUCUUGCUGUCACUUAUAGAUGGAUCCGCGCUGCAUUAGCUAGUUGGUAAGGUAACGGCUUACCAAGGCAACGAUGCAUAGCCGACCUGAGAGGAGGAGGGCCCACAGGGGAAUUGAGACACGGCCCAGACUCCGGCGGGGGGCAGAGGAAGGGAGUUUUCCGAAAGGGGGAAAGGCCUGAGGGAGCAGCGCCGGGUGAGUGAGAAAGUCUUCGGGACCGUAAACCUUUUUAAUUGGGAAAAAACAUAUGUGUAGGUAAAUGUACACAUCUGGACGGUCCAUAAUAAGAAAGCCACGGCUAACUACGUG
RNAcentral lists this ribosomal RNA (497 nucleotides) under uncultured bacterium. Its description in RNAcentral is "partial 16S ribosomal RNA". It matches the Rfam family "Bacterial small subunit ribosomal RNA", at positions 28 to 507 of the family's 1533-position model. The record is from RNAcentral.